Molecule: non-coding RNA, 282 nt
Filed under: Halobacteroidaceae bacterium
Lineage: Bacteria; Bacillati; Bacillota; Clostridia; Halanaerobiales; Halobacteroidaceae
Description: T-box sequence
Rfam family: T-box leader
About the family: Uncharged tRNA acts as the effector for transcription antitermination of genes in the T-box leader family. T-boxes are found upstream of many aminoacyl-tRNA synthetase genes and some amino acid biosynthetic genes usually in Gram-positive bacteria.
Source: RNAcentral
GUAAAGACUAUGAAGAGGACGAGUAAGUUAAGUUUUAUCUCUUAAGAGAGGAAAGCCAUCGGCUGCAAGCUUUCCGAGAUAAUUUAACUGAAAACCACCUCUGAGUUGGUACCGGAAAGAGUUUGUUUUAAGUAUGGUAGCCCGGAAGUUAUAAUUUCCGUUAUUAAAUAAGAGAUUAUUCGAUUUGUAAUUAUUAGUUCUUAAUUCACUUUGAUUAAGUUAAUAAUUUUAAUCGGAUAAAAUAGAGUGGAACCACGGAUAAUAAUACCUUUCGUCUCUAAU